CCCGGGCCUUGUACACACCGCCCGUCACAUCACGAAAGUUGGUUGUACCGGAAGCCGGUGCUCUAACCCUUCGGGGGGGGAAGCCGUCCAUGGUAUGCCCAGCGAUUGGGGUG
RNAcentral lists this ribosomal RNA (113 nucleotides) under uncultured bacterium. RNAcentral describes it as "partial 16S ribosomal RNA". It matches the Rfam family "Bacterial small subunit ribosomal RNA", at positions 1373 to 1482 of the family's 1533-position model. The record is from RNAcentral.